UACGUAGGGUGCAAGCGUUAAUCGGAAUUACUGGGCGUAAAGCGUGCGCAGGCGGUUUUGUAAGUCUGUCGUGAAAUCCCCGGGCUCAACCUGGGAAUUGCGAUGGAGACUGCAGGGCUAGAAUCUGGCAGAGGGGGGUAGAAUUCCACGUGUGAGCAGUGAAAUGCGUAGAGAUGUGGAGGAACACCGAUGGCGAAGGCAGCCCCCUGGGUCAAGAUUGACGCUCAUGCACGAAAGCGUGGGGAGCAAACAGG
This 254-nucleotide ribosomal RNA is filed under the name uncultured bacterium. RNAcentral describes it as "partial 16S ribosomal RNA". It matches the Rfam family "Bacterial small subunit ribosomal RNA", at positions 524 to 776 of the family's 1533-position model. The record is from RNAcentral.